GACGAACGCUGGCGGCGUGCUUAACACAUGCAAGUCGAACGGCAAGGCCCUGCUUUUUUGGUGUGCUCGGGUGGCGAACGGGUGAGUAACAGGUGAGUAACCUGCCCUUGACUUUGGGAUAACUUCAGGUAACUAGGGCUACUCCAGUAUAGCAGCUCCUGCUGCAUGGUGGGGGUUGGAACUUGUCGGCGGUUGGGGAUGGACUCGCGGCUAUCAGCUUGUUGGUGGGGUAGUGGCUGACCCAGGCAUUGACGGGUAGCCGGCCUGAGAGGGUGACCGGCGACAUGGGGACUGAGGGACGGCCCAGACUCCUACGGGAGGCAGCAGGGGGGAAUAUUGCACAAUGGGCGGAAGUCGGAUGCAGCAACGCCGCGUGCGGGAUGACGGCCUUCGGGUUGUAAACCGCUUUAGCCUGUGACGAAGCGUUAGUGACGGUAAUGGAUAAAGAAGCACCGGCUAACUACGUG
Molecule: ribosomal RNA, 467 nt
Filed under: uncultured bacterium
Lineage: Bacteria
Description: partial 16S ribosomal RNA
Rfam family: Bacterial small subunit ribosomal RNA
Source: RNAcentral